ACUGAAUUAUUUUUAAGAGCCGCGGUAUUUCUGACUGUGCAAAGGUAGCAUAAUCGUUAGUUUUUUAAUUGGAAUCUUGUAUGAAUGGUUUGACAAAAAAAAGACUGUCUUUAUAAUUAUUAAUUGAAUUUAACUUUUAGGUGAAAAGGCUUAAAUAAAUUAAAAAGACGAUAAGACCCUAUAAAGCUUUAUAUUAAUUUAUUAUUUAAUAAAAUUUUUAGUAUAAAUAUUUGGUAAUAAAUUUUAUUUUAUUGGGGUGAUAAUGGUAAAAUGAUUGAUAACUGUUAAUUUAAUUAAAACAAAAGUAAGUGAAUAAUAAAUUAUGUUAGUAAAGGAUCCUAUUUAAAGAUUUAAAGUUUAAGUUACUUUAGGG
Molecule: ribosomal RNA, 373 nt
Filed under: Parasesarma eumolpe
Lineage: Eukaryota; Metazoa; Arthropoda; Malacostraca; Decapoda; Sesarmidae
Description: partial large subunit ribosomal RNA
Source: RNAcentral